AUUGAACGCUGGCGGCAUGCUUUACACAUGCAAGUCGAACGGUAACAGGCCGCGAGGUGCUGACGAGUGGCGAACGGGUGAGUAAUGCAUCGGAACGUGCCCAGUCGUGGGGGAUAACUACUCGCAAGAGUAGCUAAUACCGCAUACGAUCUAUGGAAGAAAGCGGGGGACCGUAAGGCCUCGCGCGAUUGGAGCGGCCGCUGUCAGAUUAGGUAGUUGGUGGGGUAAAGGCUCACCAAGCCAACGAUCUGUAGCUGGUCUGAGAGGACGACCGGCCACACUGGGACUGAGACACGGCCCAGACUCCUACGGGAGGCAGCAGUGGGGAAUUUUGGACAAUGGGCGCAAGCCUGAUCCAGCAAUGCCGCGUGCAGGAAGAAGGCCUUCGGGUUGUAAACUGCUGUUAUACGGAACGAAACGGCUCUGGUUAAUACCCGGGGCUAAUGACGGUACCGUAAGAAUAAGCACCGGCUAACUACGUG
RNAcentral lists this ribosomal RNA (482 nucleotides) under uncultured bacterium. Its description in RNAcentral is "partial 16S ribosomal RNA". It matches the Rfam family "Bacterial small subunit ribosomal RNA", at positions 30 to 507 of the family's 1533-position model. The record is from RNAcentral.